This 253-nucleotide ribosomal RNA is filed under the name uncultured bacterium. RNAcentral describes it as "partial 16S ribosomal RNA". It matches the Rfam family "Bacterial small subunit ribosomal RNA", at positions 524 to 776 of the family's 1533-position model. The record is from RNAcentral.
UACGUAGGGCGCAAGCGUUGUCCGGAAUUAUUGGGCGUAAAGAGCUCGUAGGUGGUUUGUUACGUCUGCUGUGAAAACCUAGGGCUUAACCCUGGGCCUGCAGUGGAUACUGGCAAGCUGGAGUAUGGUAGAGGAAGGUGGAAUUCCCGGUGUAGCAGUGAAAUGCGUAGAGAUCGGGAGGAACACCAGUGGCGAAGGCGGCCUUCUGGACCAAUACUGACGCUCAUGCACGAAAGCGUGGGGAGCAAACAGG